Manacus vitellinus (golden-collared manakin) is the source of this 491-nucleotide long non-coding RNA. RefSeq lists it as uncharacterized. The record is from RefSeq and is a predicted model, not a curated record. NCBI's taxonomy places the organism in Eukaryota, Metazoa, Chordata, Aves, Passeriformes, Pipridae. The transcript has 3 exons.
AGCUGAGCCCCUCAGCCAAGAUGGUAGUUGGUGCUUGGGGAAAAUGUGUUUAAGAAAGGGCAGAAAACACGGCACAGGUGAGGAGUGAGAAAUGGCUCCACAGACACCCUGGUCAGAGUAGAAGGAGGGGAGGAGGCACUCCAGGUGCCGGAACAGACAGUCCUCUGCACCCCUGCCGAGAUCACGGUGCAGCAGGGAAUCCACAUGAAUUAUGAGCAUUAUGAAAGUCCAGAAAGAAGGAAGCUCAUGCCUUACUAUUCACUAGAGAAUCUGCAAGAGACACUGACCAACCAAUGGAUCCUCUGAUGCACACACAGUAAGAUGAUUCACACGAACCAAGGACCUUUCCAUGCUGUGGUUCUCAAAGGACACGGGUGCUACAAGAUCCAUUUAAAAUGUCUCUGCUGCUUGACUUGCCCCAGCAUCCACUUCCCUGUCUCUGUUUCUGCCACAACCACUCGCAAAAAAAUCAAGUGCUGUUUUUGAAGUAU